RNAcentral lists this long non-coding RNA (1425 nucleotides) under Chrysolophus pictus (golden pheasant). RNAcentral describes it as "lncRNA (ENSCPIG00010009980.1)". The record is from RNAcentral. Lineage: Eukaryota; Metazoa; Chordata; Aves; Galliformes; Phasianidae.
UGGCUCUGGGGACCCAAAUGUCCCACUGGGAUCGACCCCUGGUCUCCAGGUGGCUUUGGGACAUGGUAGCUUUGGGAUCCUGGGGGUUUUGGGGUCCCUGAUGGUUUUGGGGACACCAAGGUCCUGGCAGGAGCAGAUGCAGGUGGCUUUGGGGACAUGGUAGCUUUGGGAUCCAGGAGAUUUUGGGACCCCUGAUGGCUUUGGGGACACAGAAGUCCUUUCAGGAGGCGCCUUUGGGCCACAAAGGUCCUGGCAGAGGGUGGCUCUGGGGACACCAAGGUCCUGGCAGGAGCGGAUCCAGGCAGCUUUGGGAACCCAAACAUCCCCCCAGGAUGAAAUCCUUGCGCCUGGGUGCCUUUGGGGACGGGUUGUCACCUUUGGGGUGGCUUUUGGGACCCGUGGUGGCACGGGGGAGGGGAGGGAGAAGGGGGGGGUCCCAGAUUUGUGGUGUCCCUGCAGAAGAGCGCCCGUUACCUGCAGCAGGAGCUGCCCGUCCGCAUCGCCCACCGCAUCAAAGGCUUCCGCAGCCUCCCCUUCAUCAUCGGCUGCAACCCCACCAUCCUCCACGUGCACGAGCUCUACAUUCGCGCCUUCCAGAAGCUCAUCGAUUUCCCACCAGUGAGUGUCACAUUUGUGUCACCUCGUGUCACCCCUGGGUCCUCGUGUCACCCUGUCCUCGUGUCACCUCGUGUCACCCUGUCCUUGUGUCACCCCUGGGUCCUGGUGUCACUUCUGGGUCCUGGCGCCCCUUCUCGGUCCGUCCUUGUGUCACCCCUGGGUCCUGGUGUCACUUCUGGGUCCUGGUGUCACCCUGUCCUUGUGUCACCUCGUGUCACCCUGUCCUCGUGUCACCCCUGGGUCCUGGUGUCACUCCUGGGUCCUCGUGUCACCCUGUCCUCGUGUCACCUCGUGUCACCCUGUCCUUGUGUCACCCCUGGGUCCUGGUGUCACUUCUGGGUCCUGGUGUCACUUCUGGGUCCUGGUGUCACUUCUGGGUCCUGGUGUCACCCUGUCCUUGUGUCACCUCGUGUCACCCUGUCCUCGUGUCACCCCUGGGUCCUCGUGUCACCCUGUCCUUGUGUCACCCUGUCCUUGUGUCACCCCUGGGUUCUGGUGUCACCCCUGGGUCCUCGUGUCACCCUGUCCCGAUGUCACCCUUGGGUCCUCAUGUCACCUCGUGUCACCAUCACCUCAUGUCCCCCUGUCCUGCUGUCACCCCUGGGUCCUCAUGUCAGCCUGUCCCCACGUCACCCCAUCCCCAUGUCCCCUGCUUGUCUCUGUCACCCUGUCCCCGUGUCCCCUGCCUGUUUGUGUCACUCCCUCCCCACGUCACCCCAUCCCCAUGUCCCCAUGUCCCCCCAUCCCCACAUCACCCUACAGCCACAUCACCCCAUCCCCAUGUCCCCUUGUCCCCAUGUCCCCUGC